This is a long non-coding RNA of Vigna angularis (adzuki bean), 553 nucleotides long. RefSeq lists it as uncharacterized. Lineage: Eukaryota; Viridiplantae; Streptophyta; Magnoliopsida; Fabales; Fabaceae. The record is from RefSeq and is a predicted model, not a curated record. The transcript has 3 exons.
AACUGAGUUUUUGAAAGUUUAUGUCACACUCUUUGCAUGCAUCUUCUUCCCCAAAACUCUGAAAUUCUCAUUUCUCCUCCUUCUCUCUAAAAGCUCUCCCUUCUCUCUACGAAAUCUCACCCUUUCUCUUCUCUGAUCAUUUCAGACACCAUAGAAGCACUUCCGACGUCCAAAGCUUCAGUUUGAACCGAUCACUUUCGAGUUCUGAACUAUUAGUUGAAGAAUUGUUGAGCGUAAGGGUAGAAGAAAUUGUAGUCAGGCAAACCGUAUUCUAUCUCUAGGACGUUCGUUCACGCUCAGAAAAGGAGACGAACUGCUGGAAGAGGAGUUAGAAGAAGAAAAUCUAGUUGAGAUUGAAGUUAAGACCGAAGAGUAGGACGUUCGGCCAGUAGUCUAGUUAUAGUAAGGUGGUCAUUCGAUCACCUUCUGUUUUGUUUGACCGUUCGGUAUAGGUUUUGUAAACCGUUCGGUCUGAAUUACUUAAGACGUUAGGUUUAAAUUUCUACUCUUUCUGAAAGGCCGUUCAUCCAUAAUCGUUCGCUCUACUUUAGUG